Molecule: long non-coding RNA, 260 nt
Organism: Sycon ciliatum
Lineage: Eukaryota; Metazoa; Porifera; Calcarea; Leucosolenida; Sycettidae
Exons: 3
Source: RefSeq, a predicted model, not a curated record
UUGGAACUGCUUCUUGCAUGAGCUGUUUCGGAUAUUUCGUCUUCUGGCCUGGCUUAUUUCGUUUCGGCGCUGCUGAGACCUCCUUUCGCGGAAUAUUACUCAAUGACAGUGUGCGAAGAACGCGAGUUCACCUUCUUGACGAAAAUCGUGGACUAACAGUUUGAAGUCAUUGAACUACUUCCAAAAGUUGUAUCGACAUCAACAGGAUUACGAUUUCAGUGCAAUAUGAUGCUGGAUGAUCUUAUCACGAUAACCCAUGA